GGGCCCGCACAAGCAGCGGAGCGUGUGGUUUAAUUCGAUGUUACACGAAGAACCUUACCAGGGUUUGACAUGCAAGUGGUAGGAAGCCGAAAGGUGACCGACCCUUCGGGGAGCUUGCACAGGUGCUGCAUGGCUGUCGUCAGCUCGUGUCGUGAGAUGUUCGGUUAAGUCCGCUAACGAGCGCAACCCUCGUCGUAUGUUAUAUGUGUCAUACGAGACUGCCGGUAAAAAGCCGGAGGAAGGUGAGGAUGAUGUCAAGUCAGCAUGACCUUUAUAUCCAGGGCUACACACACGCUACAAUGGUCUGUACAAUGGGUAGCCAAGCCGCGAGGCGGAGCCAAUCCUGAAAGCAGGCCUCAGUUCAGAUUGCAGUCUGCAACUCGACUGCAUGAAGCCGGAGUUGCUAGUAACCGCAGGUCAGCAAUACUGCGGUGAAUACGUUCCCGGGUCUU
RNAcentral lists this ribosomal RNA (452 nucleotides) under uncultured Anaerolineaceae bacterium. RNAcentral's name for it is "bacterial SSU rRNA". It matches the Rfam family "Bacterial small subunit ribosomal RNA", at positions 917 to 1382 of the family's 1533-position model. The record is from RNAcentral. Lineage: Bacteria; Bacillati; Chloroflexota; Anaerolineae; Anaerolineales; Anaerolineaceae.